AUUGAACGCUGGCGGCAUGCCUUACACAUGCAAGUCGAACGGCAGCACGGGAGCAAUCCUGGUGGCGAGUGGCGAACGGGUGAGUAAUAUAUCGGAACGUGCCCAGUCGUGGGGGAUAACGUGGCGAAAGCUACGCUAAUACCGCAUACGAUCUAUGGACGAAAGCGGGGAUCGCAAGACCUCGCGCGAUUGGAGCGGCCGAUAUCAGAUUAGGUAGCUGGUGAGGUAAAGGCUCACCAAGCCGACGAUCUGUAGCUGGUCUGAGAGGACGACCAGCCACACUGGGACUGAGACACGGCCCAGACUCCUACGGGAGGCAGCAGUGGGAAUUUUGGACAAUGGGCGCAAGCCUGAUCCAGCAAUGCCGCGUGCAGGAUGAAGGCCUUCGGGUUGUAAACUGCUUUUGUACGGAACGAAACGGUGAGCUCUAAUACAGUUUGCUAAUGACGGUACCGUAAGAAUAAGCACCGGCUAACUACGUG
This 482-nucleotide ribosomal RNA is filed under the name uncultured bacterium. RNAcentral's name for it is "bacterial SSU rRNA". It matches the Rfam family "Bacterial small subunit ribosomal RNA", at positions 30 to 507 of the family's 1533-position model. The record is from RNAcentral.